ACGGGUGCGGAAGCGUGUGCAACCUGCCUUUAUCUGGGGGAUAUCCUUUCAAAAGGAAGAUUAAUACCCCAUAGUAUUUUACAUGGCUUCAUUUAGUAUUGAAAACUCCGGUGGAUAGAGAUGGGCACGCGCAAGAUUAGAUCGCUGGUGAGGUAACGGCUCACCAAGUCAGUGAUCUUUAGGGGGCCUGAGAGGGUGAUCCCCCACACUGGUACUGAGCCUGGUCCAACUCUCUACGGGAGGCAGCAGUGAGGAAUAUUGGACAAUGGGUGAGAGCCUGAUCCAGCCAUCCCGCGUGAAGGACGACGGCCCUAUGGGUUGUAAACUUCUUUUAUACUGGGAUAAACCUACUUACGUGUAAGUAGCUGAAGGUACAGUAUGAAUAAGCACCGGCUAACUCCGUGCCAGCAGCCGCGGUAAUACGGAGGGUGCAAGCGUUAUCCGGAUUUAUUGGGUUUAAAGGGUCCGUAGGCGGGCUCGUAAGUCAGUGGUGAAAUCUCAUAGCUUAACUAUGAAACUGCCAUUGAUACUGCGGGUCUUGAGUAAAGUAGAAGUGGCUGGAAUAAGUAGUGUAGCGGUGAAAUGCAUAGA
This 591-nucleotide ribosomal RNA is filed under the name Chryseobacterium sp. HRRK026. Its description in RNAcentral is "bacterial SSU rRNA". It matches the Rfam family "Bacterial small subunit ribosomal RNA", at positions 102 to 694 of the family's 1533-position model. Lineage: Bacteria; Pseudomonadati; Bacteroidota; Flavobacteriia; Flavobacteriales; Weeksellaceae. The record is from RNAcentral.